AAGGCAAUUAGGUCGGCGAAUCACCGGUCCAUUUAGGGCGCCGGGUCGCAUUCGAG
Molecule: small RNA, 56 nt
Filed under: Sinorhizobium meliloti 2011
Lineage: Bacteria; Pseudomonadati; Pseudomonadota; Alphaproteobacteria; Hyphomicrobiales; Rhizobiaceae
Description: putative ncRNA
Source: RNAcentral